Molecule: ribosomal RNA, 776 nt
Filed under: Phloeosinus aubei
Lineage: Eukaryota; Metazoa; Arthropoda; Insecta; Coleoptera; Curculionidae
Description: eukaryotic LSU rRNA
Rfam family: Eukaryotic large subunit ribosomal RNA
Source: RNAcentral
CGUUUAGGGGUAAACCUGAGAAACCCGAAAGGUCGAAGAAAGAAAUUCAUUCGCGUUUCGAUAUGAGCGAUAGGCGGUCGCGUGACGGAGUCAUUCGUGAUUUCCGCGCCUUCAGUCUUUCGAACUUGUAACGAACGCGUGCACUUUUCUUUUGGUAGGACGUCGCGAUCCGUCGAGUGUCGGUCUAAGACUUGCGGUGGAGCCCGUUCGUCAUCGUUUCGAUGAUGAACGGACCCGUUUGUUCCGGCCGACUCGCUCGACGGUAUAAUAAAGGUUAAAGGCCGCUCAAAGAGCGUUCGACUCGCUGCAAGCGCGCCAGAUGUGUCGGCGACCGGACCUAGUGCCGAUCCCGACCUCCGGUGACUGUUGGCGGCGAAGUUCUCGAACAGACCUUCUCUAUUAACCGAUCUGCGACGCUAUAGCUUUGGGUAAUUUCAGGACCCGUCUUGAAACACGGACCAAGGAGUCUAGCAUGUGCGCAAGUCAUUGGGAAUUACUAAACCUAAAGGCGCAAUGAAAGUAAAGGUUUUCCUUGCGAAGACCGAGGGAAGACGGGCGGUUCGCCUUUAAAAGCGGCCGCCUCGCACUCCCGGGGCGUCUCGUUCUCAUUGCGAGAAGAGGCGCACCAAGAGCGUACACGCUGGGACCCGAAAGAUGGUGAACUAUGCCUGGUCAGGACGAAGUCAGGGGAAACCCUGAUGGAGGUCCGUAGCGAUUCUGACGUGCAAAUCGAUCGUCGGAACUGGGUAUAGGAGCGAAAGACUAAUCGAACCAUC